RNAcentral lists this ribosomal RNA (613 nucleotides) under uncultured bacterium. Its description in RNAcentral is "bacterial SSU rRNA". The stretch from base 1 to 541 matches the Rfam family "Bacterial small subunit ribosomal RNA", at positions 338 to 873 of the family's 1533-position model. The record is from RNAcentral.
CCUACGGGAGGCAGCAGUGGGGAAUUUUGGACAAUGGGCGCAAGCCUGAUCCAGCAAUGCCGCGUGAGUGAAGAAGGCCUUCGGGUUGUAAAGCUCUUUUGUCAGGGAAGAAACGGUGGGGGCUAAUAUCUCCUACUAAUGACGGUACCUGAAGAAUAAGCACCGGCUAACUACGUGCCAGCAGCCGCGGUAAUACGUAGGGUGCAAGCGUUAAUCGGAAUUACUGGGCGUAAAGCGUGCGCAGGCGGUUUUGUAAGUCUGUCGUGAAAGCCCCGGGCUCAACCUGGGAAUUGCGAUGGAGACUGCAAGGCUUGAAUCUGGCAGAGGGGGGUAGAAUUCCACGUGUAGCAGUGAAAUGCGUAGAGAUGUGGAGGAACACCGAUGGCGAAGGCAGCCCCCUGGGUCAAGAUUGACGCUCAUGCACGAAAGCGUGGGGAGCAAACAGGAUUAGAUACCCUGGUAGUCCACGCCCUAAACGAUGUCUACUAGUUGUCGGGUUUUAAUUAACUUGGUAACGCAGCUAACGCGUGAAGUGACCGCCUGGGGNGUACGUCGCAGAUAACUACGAAGAAGUAGAGCGUGAGAGNGCGACGGACGACGACGAGGGAGGAGG